CCAGCAGCCGCGGUAAUUCCAGCUCCAAUAGCGUAUACUAAUGUUGUUGCAGUUAAAAAGCUCGUAGUUGAAUUUCUGUUGGGGGCCGAUCGUGCGCUUUGAUUUCAAAGAUGUUCCACAGUGUCGGCCUUGGACAUUUUGACCAGAAGUAAAAUUUUGGUCUCAUUUACUGUAAAAAAAUUAGAGUGUUUCACGCAGAUCGUAAGAUCGGAAUAUAUUAGUAUGGAAUAAUAAGAUAGGACUUUGGUGCUAUUUUGUUGGUUUGCACACCAAGGUAAUGAUUAAUAGGGACAGUUGGGGGUAUUCGUAUUUAAUUGUCAGAGGUGAAAUUCUUGGAUUUAUGA
RNAcentral lists this ribosomal RNA (344 nucleotides) under uncultured eukaryote. RNAcentral describes it as "SSU rRNA". It matches the Rfam family "Eukaryotic small subunit ribosomal RNA", at positions 567 to 931 of the family's 1831-position model. The record is from RNAcentral.